UUCAGGGAAUUCAGGACUUUUUGUCCCAGUCCAGCCCUGAUGACAGAUCACUAGUUUGAACGUGUGGAGAGAAUACUUCAGACGGAUACAUUACUGACGCUUAAAAGAUACAAAUGGAGAGUAGAACGGAAAUAAUGUGCACAAAAACCAUCUGGAGCAUCAGAAACUACAGACACACAAACACCAACAGCACAGAGAGAGAAAUGGAGGACAGAAGUGAGACACAGACGCCUGGAUCACACAAGAGAAACAGACAGAAACCCAUGAGAUGUGAGAGUAUGGAGAGAACAAAACCAGACCUCUCAUGUGAUCCAGACGGGUCUGUGAAGUUUCACUCAGAUGUUCUGAACACAAGAUCAAUGAUGUCCGGAUACCAGCAGCAGAAGACCAGAUCAUCAUCAUCUUCAUAGUAGUAGAAGAACUUUAUUGUCCCCGUGGGGCGAUUGGGUUUGCAGUGCAGUCUCAAGGCACUACAUGACAACAUAUAACAAAAACAUUACGAUGCAUUACAAAUAAAUGUGUUCGAUGCUUGGUAAUGUUAUCCCAAGUAGCUUGCUAGCAGAAGUGACUGUUUUUCUAAUUAUGUUUUUCUGUGCUUGAGUGGCAUUUCCGAAUCAACAAAUGAUACAGCCGUUAAAACACAUUCAAUAAAAGCAGUAUAAAACAUC
Molecule: long non-coding RNA, 668 nt
Organism: Carassius auratus (goldfish)
Lineage: Eukaryota; Metazoa; Chordata; Actinopteri; Cypriniformes; Cyprinidae
Exons: 3
Source: RefSeq, a predicted model, not a curated record